GGGAAAUAAGGGAGAUCUAGGUAUUCGUGGCGAGAAAGGGGAACCAGGACUACCAGGUACUAAAUAUUUCAAAAUUUGACAAUGCUAUAAUGUUAAUUAAUUUCACUUUGAAACAGGUCAUUGUGAUUCAGAUCAAAUUAGAGCAUUAUGUUCAACUAUUAUAUCAGAAACUUUGGCGGCUUUAACAUCGACAACCCCACUACCUGCACAAUCCUCUACUUCCCGCCCUGCAAUUAAGGGUUACUCCAGAGAUGAGUAUUACGACACGUCAGUGGAACUCCCACAUUUCUAAUAAUAUGUUUCCAUAGUCGUUGGGAAGUCAGUAAUACUUUUAAAAUACAAAAUUACUACUUUAACAAUUUGGCAAUUACUUGAUUUGUUCAACUUAUAGCAAUUGCAAUAAGGAUGUAAUAAUAAAACAAUUCCAAAAUGCAUAUUAUGUAAUC
Folsomia candida is the source of this 446-nucleotide long non-coding RNA. RefSeq lists it as uncharacterized. The transcript is spliced from 3 exons. NCBI's taxonomy places the organism in Eukaryota, Metazoa, Arthropoda, Collembola, Entomobryomorpha, Isotomidae. The record is from RefSeq and is a predicted model, not a curated record.